AAUUACUAGCUUGUCCAUUAUAGAUUUCUUUGGUAUGUGGUAGAAGUGUUGGAACAAGCUUCCAAGCACUCUUUCAUUAACCAAUCUUGGUUUCUGUGAUCCGGUCCUUUGGACCUGUUAUAGAGCAGACACUACAAAGAUUCUGGUACUGCACAAUAGAAAAGGAAGAAAUAGAAGAAAAAUCUUCUUUCAAUAUCAAUAAUGUACAUUCUUCAAAGUAAAAAAAAAAUUUUGUUGUCAACACCUAGGGAAGCUCAUAUAAUUAAGAAAUAUAAUCAAGGGUUGAAGAUUAAAUCUCCACAUUUGCACUUCCAACUCAUUGGCUUGUAGUUGGACCAGUCAUCUCCUCUUGCAUAAACAAUGUUGGAGACUGUUGGGUAGUUUAUGUUGCCAUGAUUUACUUGGGGAUUUGUAGGCACCUGAAUAGCCUCACAACGUCCACAGUUACUGCACCUUCGCUCGCAUCUUGGAGGCCUUGAGCCUAUCUGAGAUCUCAUAAUCAUCUUCUCUUCAUUUUCUGUCUUUGGAAAGGUAGCAGAUUUUGGAUUAGCUCUGCCUGCAACACAGAAAGGCAAGUAAAAUGGUUUUACUUCAAAACUGCACAAAUUAGCCUUUCAAAUUAAAAAUUCAUCCUAACCCAUUACCUUCUGUCUUGAAUCUCACAUGGGUGGAGCUUGAAAUCAAGAGAAAGAGAAAGGAAAUGGUAACAUAACCAAGUCUUUGACACAAAAGCAGAUUGUGACUACACCCCAUUUCUCAAAAGGCCAAGGAGUUCAAUGCGAUGAAUGUAUUGGAGCGAAAAGUUUGUAGAGAAGAAGAAAAGAUGGAGAAAACAUGGGAAGUCAAAUUAUAUAUAAGAAGAUAAUGAACAUAUAUUGUGUCGUAAUAGAAGAAGAAAAUCAGUAAUUGAAUGACAUAUAAUUGCAAGCGGCUUUCUGUGUCACUCUCUGAUUCUUGAGGUGAUGGAACGAGAAAGGACAAGAAAGAUUAAAGAAAAAGAAAGCCCAAAAAGGCAAGAACCUUAACCUUGGUUGUUGAGCCCCAAAAUCCAAGUAACAAAAAAAGAUCAUACAAUAGAAGAAAGAGAGAGCUAGGCAACAAUAGUAGUGUUAGUGUUUGUUAGCUUUUAGAGCAUAGAGAUUAGCCAGAAAGAUAAAAGACAGUAAGGACCCAAAACAGAAGAAACACCACAAAAUUCCAUAACAGAUAUGAGAGACAAACGGACAUUUGAUUACAGCUGUGAAUAUUUCGGGUUAUCGCUUUCAUUCACUCAUAAUCCGAUCAUGAAAAAUAUUUGAAAUUUGCUUUUGGGAUUUCUUUCAAUGGCUGGCCUUAGCAGCAGCAAGCAGUGCCAACUUAUCACGGCAAAUGCCUUGUUCUCCUCAGCAGAGAACUGUGGAAAAAGAAGAGAAAGAGAGAAGAAGAGAAAGGAAAGGAACUGAUGCUAGUCCUCCUCGUAUCCCUUUUCAAUCAUGUCG
RNAcentral lists this unclassified non-coding RNA (1478 nucleotides) under Hevea brasiliensis (rubber tree). Lineage: Eukaryota; Viridiplantae; Streptophyta; Magnoliopsida; Malpighiales; Euphorbiaceae. The record is from RNAcentral.